GCGCUUGCGCAUCUAGCCAAGGCGGACGGGUGAGUAACGCGUAAGGAACUUGCCCUGCAGACAGGGAUAACAGACGGAAACGACUGAUAACACCUGGUAUUGUCAGGCUGGCGCAUGCGGCCUGAUGAAAGGAGACGCUGCAGGAGAGCCUUGCGUCCUAUUAGCUAGUUGGUGGGGUAACGGCCCACCAAGGCGAUGAUAGGUAGCCGGCCUGAGAGGGUGAACGGCCACAAGGGGACUGAGAUACGGCCCUUACUCCUACGGGAGGCAGCAGUGGGGAAUAUUGGACAAUGGGGGCAACCCUGAUCCAGCAAUUCUGUGUGCACGAAGAAGGUUUUCGGAUUGUAAAGUGCUUUCAGCAGGGAAGAAGAAAGUGACGGUACCUGCAGAAGAAGCGACGGCUAAAUACGUGCCAGCAGCCGCGGUAAUACGUAUGUCGCAAGCGUUAUCCGGAAUUAUUGGGCAUAAAGGGCAUCUAGGCGGCCCUGUAAGUCUAGGGUGAAAACCUGCGGCUCAACCGCAGGCCUGCCCCGGAAACUACAGGGCUAGAGUAUCGGAGAGGUGGACGGAACUGCACGAGUAGAGGUGAAAUUCGUAGAUAUGUGCAGGAAUGCCGAUGAUGAAGAUAGUUCACUGGACGGUAACUGACGCUGAAGUGCGAAAGCUAGGGGAGCAAACAGGAUUAGAUACCCUGGUAGUCCUAGCUGUAAACGAUG
This 716-nucleotide ribosomal RNA is filed under the name uncultured Leptotrichia sp. RNAcentral's name for it is "bacterial SSU rRNA". It matches the Rfam family "Bacterial small subunit ribosomal RNA", at positions 76 to 811 of the family's 1533-position model. The record is from RNAcentral. Lineage: Bacteria; Fusobacteriati; Fusobacteriota; Fusobacteriia; Fusobacteriales; Leptotrichiaceae.